CCGCCGCUCCGGGCGGUGAUCCGCCGCCUUCUCGCGGCGGCCGACGCGCUCUACGCCCGCUCCGAGCCGGGGGUGGCGGG
This 80-nucleotide transfer RNA is filed under the name Methylobacterium sp. Its description in RNAcentral is "tRNA-Glu". RNAcentral also lists the same sequence under 1 other name. The record is from RNAcentral. Lineage: Bacteria; Pseudomonadati; Pseudomonadota; Alphaproteobacteria; Hyphomicrobiales; Methylobacteriaceae.